RNAcentral lists this ribosomal RNA (516 nucleotides) under Cladophialophora yegresii. RNAcentral describes it as "eukaryotic LSU rRNA". It matches the Rfam family "Eukaryotic large subunit ribosomal RNA", at positions 119 to 651 of the family's 3401-position model. Lineage: Eukaryota; Fungi; Ascomycota; Eurotiomycetes; Chaetothyriales; Herpotrichiellaceae. The record is from RNAcentral.
AAUCUGGCCUCCCGGGGUCCGAGUUGUAAUUUGUAGAGGAUGUUUUGGGUACCGCCCCGGUCUAAAUUUCUUGGAACAGAAUGUCAAAGAGGGUGAGAAUCCCGUCUUGGACCGGCGGUAGGGCCUGUGUAAAACUCCUUCGACGAGUCGAGUUGUUUGGGAAUGCAGCUCAAAAUGGGUGGUAAAUUUCAUCUAAAGCUAAAUAUUGGCCAGAGACCGAUAGCGCACAAGUAGAGUGAUCGAAAGAUGAAAAGAACUUUGAAAAGAGAGUUAAACAGUAUGUGAAAUUGUUGAAAGGGAAGCGCUUGCAACCAGACUUGAGCGCGACGGUUCCCCUAGCCUUUUGGCUAGGUUACUCCGUCGUGUCCAGGCCAACAUCGGUUCUGAGGGUCGGUCAAAGGCUCUGGGAAUGUAUCUACCCACGGGUAGACUUAUAGACCAGGGUGUCAUGCGGCCUCUCGGGACCGAGGAACGCGCUUCGGCUCGGAUGUUGGCGUAAUGGUUGUCAGCGACCCG